Molecule: ribosomal RNA, 3474 nt
Filed under: Triticum aestivum (bread wheat)
Lineage: Eukaryota; Viridiplantae; Streptophyta; Magnoliopsida; Poales; Poaceae
Description: partial small subunit ribosomal RNA
Source: RNAcentral
AUGACCGCCGCCUCCACGGGCGGCGGCGACGGCGGAGGAGGCGGCGGGGGCGCGUCGUCCCCGGCGGCGCCGCGGGCCAUGAAGCGGGAGCUGGCCUUCGCGCUGCAGUCGUUGUCGGAGAUCACGGCGUCCCCCGGCCGCACCCGCUCCGGCCGCUCCCUUCUCGCCUGCCCCUCCCUCCCCUCCUCGCCGGCCAAGCGCCGGAAGGCCGCCGCCAGAUCCGACCCCCCGCCCACCCCGCCCCCGGAUCUGGUCUCCCCGCCCACCCCGCCCCUCGACGCCGAGGCGCCCAAGCCCGCCCCCCACCACGCCGCCCCCCUCGAUGCUGCCCUCCUGCCGCCCGAAGAUGCGGAGGUGCUGCCGCUUUUCGCUGCCACUCACCACGCCGCCGAUGGGUUACCCUUGGACCCCCUCGUAGCCAGCCAAGAUGCUCUCCCGGCGCCGCGCGAGGCAGCCACCCAAGAUGCUCCCCUGGAUGCAGAGCUGCUGCCCAAGGUCAGCCACGACGCUGCCGAGAUGCUGCCCGAGGUCAGCCACAACGCUGCCGAGGUGCUGCCCGAAGUCAGCCACGACGCUGCCGAGAUGCCGCCCUUGGCUGCUGAGGUGCUGCCCGAGGUCAGCCACAACGCUACCGAGGCGCCGCCCUUGGCUGCCGAGAUGCUGCCCAAGGUCAGCCACAACGCUCCCGAGGUGCCGCCCUUGGCUGCCGAGAUGCUGCCCGAGGUCAACCACAACGCUCCCGAGGCGCCGUCCUUGGCUGCCAAGGCGCAUGCGGUGGCCAACCAAGAUGCUGCCGCCGAGGCGUCACCAAAGGCCAGCCACUCUGACGACGUCGUCAUGGUGGACGCUGAGGCGCAGCUCAAUGCUCAAGGCGACGCAGACCUCAUGGGCCCCUGCUCAUUCCGGGCGCCAAUGGAGAAGAAGAAGGAAGAGGAACGGGAUGGGUCCAAUGCUGCCGUCCCCCCUCAGCACCAAAUGGAUGGACUCCCUGCUCCUGUAACAGAGUCUGAAUCUGCCGGCGAGGCGGCUACACAGGCCACAGGAGUCGAGCCCAGCGCUGCUGCUGCGCAUGCAAUGCCGGACGCUGAAGAGGGCGCUAGCAUGGAAUUGGAUGCACCUUCGGCUUUGCUCGAGUCCACUGCUGGAUCAAAUGAACCCAGUGUGCUGGACAAUGCGUUGGCUGAUCCUCCUGUGGCCGCCGAGGAUGCCACCAUACCUGCUUCCACUGCCGUGGACGCUGAGGAUGCCGCCACACCAGAUUCCACUGCCAAGAUCAUCAAGCCUAAAAGACGCUUCACACGGUCGCUGCUUGGACUGGACAGAGAGACCGCAGCUAGUGAAAUUAUAGGAGAUGCCUCGCUUGAUUUGUCUGCAACACCAGGGAGGAGGUUCACAAGGUCACUGCUCAAGCCAAAGGUUGAGGCGCCUCCUGCCAGCAUUCCGGUUGUGCCUGAAGAGCCCGUUGAGAGCACACCAGAGACCCCUCCAUCGGUGACCAAGAUGGAGAUGAAGAUGUCCAAGAAAGUUGCCUGCCUCUCAAAGCACCCAGGCAACACCAGAGAUUUGCUCAGCACAGGACUGCUCGAGGGAAUGCCGGUUAUGUACAUCAUCCCUAAUAGCAAGAAGCCUGUGCUGAAAGGUGUGAUUGCAGGUUGCAAUAUACGUUGCUUUUGUGCUAAGUGUGAUGGCUCCAAGGCUAUUACUACAUAUUUCUUCGAACUACAUGCUGGAAGCAGCAAAAAACACCCUGCAGAGUACAUCUACUUAGCAAAUGGUAAUAGCUUGCGGGAUGUGCUGCGUGCCUGUGAAAGUUCUCCUUUGGAUUCUCUAGAUAAAACAAUCCAGUCCUGCAUUGAUCCCAUGCUUACAAGGACCCGCACGAAUUGUCUGAACUGCAACGGUCAGCUACCUUCACAAACUGAAGAACAGUUUCUGUGCGAUCACUGUUGCCCAGAGUCAAACCAACCUCAAGAUCCUACUUCCCCGUUGGCAUGCAGCAAGAGCAGUUCCAGUCUGACUCCAAGUUCCAAGGAAUCUUUGUUGAAGAGGAUGUCGGCAAGCAAAGGCGCGAGUACUGGAAAAGUAACAACAAAGGAUACGGGGCUACACAAACUGGUAUUCAAGGUUUUGCUUGACGGUACUGAAGUAACCUACUUUGUUGAUGGGAAGAAAAUAAUCGAUGGAUACAUCAAGGAUCAAAGAAUCUACUGUAACCAUUGCAACAAAGUGGUCAGCCCCUCAGCGUUCGAAGCUCAUGCGGGUGAGGGAUCAAGACGCAAACCGUAUGACAACAUCUAUACGUCAAAUGGGGUAUCCCUGCAUGAGCUGUCGAUGAGUAUAUCAAAAGACAUGCAAUUGUCGGAACGUGAAACCGAUGAUCUGUGCAGAGAAUGUGGUCUAGGAGGGGAUAUUUUCCCUUGCAAAAUGUGUCCAAGGUCAUUUCACCCAGCUUGCGUUGGGCUGCCUGGAGUUCCCUUGGGGGAGUGGUUUUGUGAUAACUGCACCAUCCUCGUUCAGAAAGAAAAGGCUUUAGCAGCAAAUAAGAAUGCCAAGGCUGCUGGGAGGCAGGCCGGAGUCGAUUCUAUUGAGCAGAUUUUGAAGAGGGCUAUUAGAAUCGUCCCAAUCUGUGAUGACCUUGGAGGAUGCGCCUUGUGCAAGAAAAAGGAUUUUAACAAUUCAGUAUUUGAUGAGCGCACUGUGAUACUCUGCGAUCAAUGCGAGAAAGAAUACCAUGUAGGAUGUUUGAGGAGUGAAUGGCAGGUCGACCUGAAGGAAUUACCAGAAGGGGAGUGGUUCUGUUGUGAUAGUUGCUCUGAGAUACGCUCCUCUUUGGACAAGAUGAUUUCUGAAGGAGCUCAGCCUUUGUCGGAGUCAGAUCUUGAUAUCAUAAGAAAGAAACACGAGUCAAAAGGUUUGAUUAUGGAUGUCAAUACAGAGAUCAGAUGGCAAUUGGUUGCUGGUAGAAGUGCCACUGAAGCUGGCAACUCAUUGCUUUCUUCUGCUGUCCCAGUUAUUCAUCAAUCUUUUGAUCCAAUCAUCGAAGCCCAUACCGGUAGGGAUCUAAUUCCUGAGAUGGUCCACGGGAGGAGACCUAAAGAAGGAAUGCCAGGCCAAGAUUACAGUGGAAUGUACUGUGCGGUCUUAACUGUAGGUUCUACUGUCGUGUCGGCAGCACUCUUGCGUGUCAUGGGAGGUGACGUGGCCGAACUGCCACUGGUUGCUACAAGCAUGGAUCUUCAAGGACUGGGCUACUUCCAAGUGUUGUUCUCAUGCAUCGAAAGGCUGCUAGUUUCGCUGAAGGUGAAGCACUUCAUGCUUCCAGCUGCCCAUGAAGCCGAAGCCAUCUGGAUGAAGAAGUUUGGCUUCUCUAAAAUCCCUCAGGAUCAGAUGGAAGCUUAUCUUAACGGGGGACACCUCACCGUAUUCCAUGGAACCUUGAACCUGUACAAGGCCGUUCCAUUGCCUGAAUCUUAG